UUUCACAAAACAACUCAUCUAUAUCUUUUUCUUGUUUUUUUCUCUAAAAGUUUAAUAGAGAUCGAGUCUGCUUAUUGACUUCCUCUCUCAGCUCUUUCAUUAUUUGCUCUCAAUCGACCUUCAUCGUCUUCUUCUGCAAUUUUUCAAGAUCCGGAAGGUGGAGUAGAAGUCAAUACCCUCAAACAAAUAAUCGAUUUCAAUGGUAGCAUGUGUUUCAGUAAUAAAAUCCUUCUCGCGACUAAUUUGGUUGUAGAUUACUUCAACUGGUUCCUAUUGACGGUGUGGUGGUGAUGAAGUAGAAGAUGACUCAGUUUGCUAAUUAGAUUGCUCGUUAUAUUGCUUGUAUUUUUUUGAGUUGGGUCAUUCUUAGGUUCCAUGACAUGAGCUUUUAAUAGGGCAAGAAACUGAAGGUGGUAACUGGUUAUCAAGAAUCCAAGUGUUGAUUUUGAAGAUGAGGAUGAAUAUUUGUGAAGGACCUUAUGGAAUGGGGAUGUGUUUGUUUUUAUGAAGUGGUCAAAUACAGGGAUUGAAUUAUUGAUGAUGGAUUUGCUGGUGGUGGUGGUGGAACUAUGAUUACCUAAGGUGACUGCUAUGGCGAGAAUUUGCUCAGUUUUCUUUUGCUUUAUGUUGUUUUCCUUAAACCCUUUCUUUUAUGAUUAUUUUUAGUUUAUACUUAGAAAUAUGAUUUCUUAAAGUGAUGUCCUCUACUGUCUUAUUCAUAUGGAAAAAUAUAAGAACUAUGACUUCUGGAGAUGUACUAAAGUUUAUUCACAUGGACAAAAUCGUGUCUUCCAGUUGGAAAAUCAUACAUUCCUCGGUCAAGUACAGUGAAGAUCAACUAUCCCAAGUACGAAGAUAUAUACUAUCUUAGAGUUUAUUGAUGAUUGUUGGUUGAAUAUUUAAAUUGCUGGUUACUUGGUUUUGUAUUGGUUGUUGAUUGCAGCUUAAGGCUGCUGGAGACAUGAUCAUACAAAGUCAGGUGCAUAAACAAAAAUUUAUUGUAUUCGAAAAAUCUCCAUUUCAAAGAGAAUCUUUUAGGGAAAAGUUUUUAUUAAAAAUUUAAAGAGAUGCGCAGUUAGAAAGACAACAUUUUUUUAAUAUCAUGUAGACACAUCUAUAUUGGAGUGGUAUUGUGAUAGGUUAAUGUUCUCACUUAGUUGUUUGCAGAAGAUCAGUCUAGUUAGUCCUGCAAAGGGUGUCAUUAAUUCUUGUUUACGACAUUCGAUAUUUACGGAAGUUCUUAGUGUUUAAUUAGUGUUAUGGGUUGACUACAUGGGAACAAUUCAGUUGGAGAAUCCUCACGAAGCGGGGAUAGUUUACCAGUGGAAAGCAUAAUCGAAGACCUGCAGUCCCGGAUCAGAAAGCUCGAACGAUGGCGUACGGUCAAUACGGAAAUUCCCUGCUUGAGAAGUCAUACGGAUUGAUUUCUUUCGUAGUCCAGUAUCUGAACCGGAAACAACACACCCUAUAGUUCAGGAACAAACAAAAGUUUAAUCUUUGUGUCAAUUGAAGAAGGUUCUACAUAACUUUCAUUUUUCUUCUUUUAGCUAUUAAAUGUGUUAGUUCUUUGAGUUUUUGUGUUAAACUGUGCUCUUUAUGUUGCUGGAUUCCACAUGUAUCUUUUAAGAAAACUUAUUAGGACUUGUAUUAUGCGAAUUCAGGAUUUGAAUCCUCUUUGUGUGAUUUUGAAACUAAAUGUCAACUGAAUUCAGUUAUGGGUUGUGCAGUGAAUACAAUGAAUGUUUAAUGGAAUGAAAUUUGGUCCACA
This is a long non-coding RNA of Papaver somniferum (opium poppy), 1768 nucleotides long. RefSeq lists it as uncharacterized. The transcript is spliced from 7 exons. The record is from RefSeq and is a predicted model, not a curated record. NCBI's taxonomy places the organism in Eukaryota, Viridiplantae, Streptophyta, Magnoliopsida, Ranunculales, Papaveraceae.